This 497-nucleotide ribosomal RNA is filed under the name uncultured bacterium. RNAcentral describes it as "partial 16S ribosomal RNA". It matches the Rfam family "Bacterial small subunit ribosomal RNA", at positions 28 to 507 of the family's 1533-position model. The record is from RNAcentral.
GAUGAACGCUGGCGGCGUGCCUAAUACAUGCAAGUCGAGCGAACAGACGAGGAGCUUGCUCCUCUGACGUUAGCGGCGGACGGGUGAGUAACACGUGGAUAACCUGCCUAUAAGACUGGGAUAACUACGGGAAACCGGAGCUAAUACCGGAUAAUAUAUUGAACCGCAUGGUUCAAUAGUGAAAGACGGUUUUGCUGUCACUUAUAGAUGGAUCCGCGCCGCAUUAGCUAGUUGGUAAGGUAACGGCUUACCAAGGCAACGAUGCGUAGCCGACCUGAGAGGGUGAUCGGCCACACUGGAACUGAGACACGGUCCAGACUCCUACGGGAGGCAGCAGUAGGGAAUCUUCCGCAAUGGGCGAAAGCCUGACGGAGCAACGCCGCGUGAGUGAUGAAGGUCUUCGGAUCGUAAAACUCUGUUAUUAGGGAAGAACAAAUGUGUAAGUAACUAUGCACGUCUUGACGGUACCUAAUCAGAAAGCCACGGCUAACUACGUG